This 228-nucleotide ribosomal RNA is filed under the name uncultured bacterium. RNAcentral describes it as "partial 16S ribosomal RNA". It matches the Rfam family "Bacterial small subunit ribosomal RNA", at positions 103 to 334 of the family's 1533-position model. The record is from RNAcentral.
CGGGUGAGUAAUACAUCGGAACGUGUCUUCUAGUGGGGGAUAACUGCCCGAAAGGACAGCUAAUACCGCAUGAGACCUGAGGGUGAAAGCGGGGGAUCGCAAGACCUCGCGCUGGAAGAGCGGCCGAUGUCCGAUUAGCUAGUUGGUGAGGUAAAGGCUCACCAAGGCGACGAUCGGUAGCUGGUCUGAGAGGACGACCAGCCACACUGGGACUGAGACACGGCCCAG